This 92-nucleotide transfer RNA is filed under the name Caldanaerobacter subterraneus subsp. tengcongensis MB4. RNAcentral's name for it is "Thermoanaerobacter tengcongensis MB4 tRNA". It matches the Rfam family "tRNA". From Rfam's summary of the family: Transfer RNA (tRNA) molecules are approximately 80 nucleotides in length. RNAcentral also lists the same sequence under 1 other name. Lineage: Bacteria; Bacillati; Bacillota; Clostridia; Thermoanaerobacterales; Thermoanaerobacteraceae. The record is from Rfam by way of RNAcentral.
GGAGAAGUACCCAAGUGGUGAAGGGGCGGUCCUGCUAAGACUGUAGGUCGGGGAAAAACCCCGGCGCGUGGGUUCGAAUCCCACCUUCUCCG